GGCUCCAUAGUGUAGUGGUUAGCACGUCUGCUUUACACACAGAAGGUCCUGGGUUCAUGCCCCAGAUGGAGCCA
Pteropus alecto (black flying fox) is the source of this 74-nucleotide non-coding RNA. Lineage: Eukaryota; Metazoa; Chordata; Mammalia; Chiroptera; Pteropodidae. The record is from Rfam.